AGUGAACGCUGGCGGCAGGCCUAAUACAUGCAAGUCGAACGGCAGCACGGCAGAGCUUGCUCUGUGGGUGGCGAGUGGCGGACGGGUGAGGAAUACAUGGGAAUCUGCCCAGUCGUGGGGGAUAACGUAGGGAGACUUACGCUAAUACCGCAUGCGCCCUUCGGGGGAAAGCCGGGGACCUUCGGGCCUGGCGCGAUUGGAUGAGCCCAUGUCGGAUUAGCUAGUUGGCGGGGUAAUGGCCCACCAAGGCGACGAUCCGUAGCUGGUCUGAGAGGAUGAUCAGCCACACUGGAACUGAGACACGGUCCAGACUCCUACGGGAGGCAGCAGUAGGGAAUAUUGGACAAUGGGCGCAAGCCUGAUCCAGCCAUGCCGCGUGAGUGAGAAGGCCCUCGGGUUGUAAAG
Molecule: ribosomal RNA, 405 nt
Filed under: uncultured bacterium
Lineage: Bacteria
Description: bacterial SSU rRNA
Rfam family: Bacterial small subunit ribosomal RNA
Source: RNAcentral